GAUGGAGGUUUCUACAGCAGUUGGUCUCAUCCCAGGAUGUGGUCAGCCCUUCUGCAGUUCAAACCUUGACCACAAAGGCUGGUGCUGCCUGUACAGAUGUGUGUGACUCAUGGGAGAGGGCUGAACAUCUGCACGGAGGAAAAAUAGUCCUGUGCGCUAUCUACCUGUAUGCUUCAUUUGAAGGAGGAUGUCCACUGAAGAACGACGAAUUUAAUACUUCAGGAAAUAGCCUACCUAAAAGAAAAUCUGAAUUACUGAGAAGAUAAAGGUAAAUCACCAUUGUAAAAACCAGGGGACCAAAUACAUACUUUGACAGCUGGCGUCUACAUUAAGGUGGAGUUAGACAAGAUUUCUGUGUUACCUUUUCUACAAGAAAACAAAACCCUCCCUCUUGGAGAAUACAGUGGUACAUCGACAGAAGCUGUGUGAAGCAACCGAUGCAGAGGACUCAGCAUGUAAACUCCAUAUACAUUCUCUGGACUAGCUUAUGUUUGGUUAAAUGGACCAAUGCCUCUUAGCAGCUGGAGCACAUCAGGGGCACUCUUGGUGAACCUCCGUCAGCUUGUCAUCUGAACAGAGUCUAGCUUAUGGCCAAGACCACUCGGAAACAAAGCAAAGAAGGACACUCAGGAGAUACACUGUGAAAGCAAACACUUGACCCAAUAAAAACACUGGUGCUGACGUAACCAGGGUGACUACUGGCUGAUGAGCAGAAGAGAACAUUUUUCAGACUUAAAAAAAAAUCUUGUCAAACAUGCUCUUUCAAUGACUUACAGUGCAUGUACAUUAUUGAAUCACUUACUGGCUCCUAAAUACUACUGGAACUCUUCUACUAUAAAGAUAUAAAAAUCUCACUUAUUUAAACAAUAACAGGAAUCUUAUUAAGAAAUUAAUCUAUACUUGUGUAUUGAUUACCUGAAUUUCUGCAGGAAAAACUGACAAUUCCUGGAUAUACCACAUACAUAACACUAGAUUUGACAGUAAGAGUUUAUAUGAUUUUUAUAGCAUUUAAAACUAUAGCCAUGGUUCUCUCCUCCUGCCUCCUUACUCUCUUCUCUCACUCUUGCUACUGCCCUAGGCAGUAGCAGUGAAGAGCCUACAGAAACAGAUUUGGUUCACACUCCAUGCCACUCACCAUCUUUCAAUGGAAAAAUGUACAGCACUCGCUGAGAAUCAACACUGUAAAAGAAAGAUCUGCAAUCUACUCACUUGAACACAUGACUCGGAUUUCAUUCUCCAUGAUCAUCAGCACAGAGCACCAUUUUGACAGUGACCAAUUAUGCAAACAAGAGAAAAAAAAUAUAGUCUUUACAGAAGGGUAACCAACUGAUGUAGAACACCAUGAAGUAUUACGCCAUUUGACUCCCAUUUCUGAAUGGACAACAACAGAUGCUACAGCUCCUGAGGUCAGGCAGGCAUUUAUGAUCUAUCACCUAGUUGACAUGUCAACAUCCUUAAUGAAAGAGGUUGGAGGAGUAAAGCAAGAGUACUUCAGAUAUGGGUUCUACCUUUUGCCUUCAACUAAAAAGAUAGUACAUUUUAGUUAGCAGCUGCUAGGUGGCGAUGUGCCUGAAGGAAAAAAUAAUGCCUUUCCUUUUCCUGAUACUCAGCUGCAGAGUUGCUGCACUUAUCACCAACAUUUUUUUUUAAUUGUAGUUAUAAUAUAUUUCACAGGAAAAAAAAGUAGAUAAAAAUUCUGAUCUAAACAAGAUGGACUGUGUGCUUUUAAAUACUCUCAGAUACAAUAAGAAGAUAGAGCAAACGUAUGAAACCUGCAGGAAAUUCAGAGAUAGAUGAUAAGGAAGCUGCUUGCAGAAAGCAUUAUUUAUCUCCUACCCCGGGAUAAACCCACUUUACUGUUGUACCAUACAAUGAAGUAAGGCAAAGGUUAGAGGACAGAAGAAGUGGGAUUAAAUACAGGCAGAUGACCAUUCACAGCAAAUCUCACU
This is a long non-coding RNA of Numida meleagris (helmeted guineafowl), 1949 nucleotides long. RefSeq lists it as uncharacterized. The record is from RefSeq and is a predicted model, not a curated record. NCBI's taxonomy places the organism in Eukaryota, Metazoa, Chordata, Aves, Galliformes, Numididae. The transcript has 3 exons.